UUUUAACCGAAAACCCCUGAUCUCUUCUAUAGUUCAUAGGUUAGUAUUCAGGUAGAAAGUUAUAAACUAUAGGUGUGCUGUGAAAAAUUAAUCGUCGGGGUUGAUAGCUGUUUAACAACUAAAGAUUUUGGAUAAUUUGUAAGGUUAAAAUAUCUUAUGAAGUUAUACAUUUGUUGUUUUUAUAAUUAUAAUAGGGUUAAAAGUACCCAUUUAUUAUGAGGUUGUUUAAAGGCUUUGUUGCGUACGGAUAAAAUUAUGUUUAAUAGUUGUUUACAUGACAUGUAGAGAUUAUUUAUAUCUAAAUAAGUAAUAAAAAUAAAAUAGUCAUUUCUAAAGUGCUGCCCGUCUGUUUAUUAAAAACAUUUCCAUAUAGAAAUUUUUAUGGUAGUACCUGCUCAAUGCGUAGAUUGUAAAUAGCCGCAGUAUUUUGACUGUGCAAAGGUAGCAUAAUUAAUUGCCUUAUAAUUGAAGGCUUGUUUGAAUGGUUUGACGUGGUAGUUACAAAUGUUUGUUUUUUAGUUGAAAUUGAUUUAGAGGGCACAGAAUCCUCUAAGAUUAAUUAGACGGAAAGACCCCAGGAUCUUUUAUUUUUGUCUGGGGCAGAUGAAAAUUUUUUAUUUUUAUUUUGACCCCUAGAGGGUUAUUGGUUAAGUUACCCUGGGGAUAACAGUGUAAUAGUUUAUUAGAGAUCGUAUCGAGUAAACUGUUUGCUACCUCGAUGUUGACUUAGGUAAAUAUAUUAGGCGCAGUAGUCUAAAAUUUUGGUCUGUUCGACCACAAGUACCUCCAUGAGUUGAGUUAAG
RNAcentral lists this ribosomal RNA (803 nucleotides) under Ophiotaenia longmani. Its description in RNAcentral is "partial 16S ribosomal RNA". The stretch from base 563 to 803 matches the Rfam family "Archaeal large subunit ribosomal RNA", at positions 2156 to 2683 of the family's 2987-position model. Lineage: Eukaryota; Metazoa; Platyhelminthes; Cestoda; Proteocephalidea; Proteocephalidae. The record is from RNAcentral.